AGAUUUAGAUAUAGAUUGUAAAGAUUUUAGUAUGCAUUGUUAUAUAAUUAGUUGAACACUAGUUGGAAGAAUGUCGAUCGUUCAUGUUUCUAAUACAAAGUCAUAUAUGGUAUCACCAGUGUGUUCGAUCCCCUAUUAUCUAUCUAUAUACGUGCAUGCAACAAUAUCUUAAUGUGAUUUUUAUUAUUCUACACCCUGCACCAAUAUUAUUACGGAUCCACCCAUCAGCAUCCGCUUUAACUCAUCGAUGAAAAGAAACACAUACUUGAAUAGCAAGAAUAAAUCAAAAAACCCA
Molecule: long non-coding RNA, 295 nt
Filed under: Phoenix dactylifera (date palm)
Lineage: Eukaryota; Viridiplantae; Streptophyta; Magnoliopsida; Arecales; Arecaceae
Description: long non-coding RNA (PDAC_LNC016360)
Source: RNAcentral